Molecule: ribosomal RNA, 441 nt
Filed under: uncultured bacterium
Lineage: Bacteria
Description: bacterial SSU rRNA
Rfam family: Bacterial small subunit ribosomal RNA
Source: RNAcentral
CCUACGGGAGGCAGCAGUGAGGAAUUUUCCGCAAUGGGCGCAAGCCUGACGGAGCAACGCCGCGUGCAGGAGGACGCUUUUCGGAGUGUAAACUGCUUUUCUGUGGGACGAGCAAGGACGGUACCACAGGAAGAAGCCCCGGCUAACUACGUGCCAGCAGCCGCGGUAAUACGUAGGGGGCGAGCGUUGUCCGGAGUUACUGGGCGUAAAGGGCAUGCAGGCGGUCGGACGCGUUUUGUGUGACAGCGGGUGGCUUAACUGCCCGAGGAUACGAAAGACGGUUUGACUUGAGGGCUCGAGAGGGACACGGAAUUCCGGGUGGAGUGGUGAAAUGCGUAGAGAUCCGGAGGAACACCAAAGGCGAAGGCAGUGUCCUGGUGAGCACCUGACGCUGAGGUGCGAAAGCUAGGGGAGCGAACGGGAUUAGAUACCCCGGUAGUC